Long non-coding RNA from Cucurbita maxima (winter squash), 288 nucleotides. RefSeq lists it as uncharacterized. Lineage: Eukaryota; Viridiplantae; Streptophyta; Magnoliopsida; Cucurbitales; Cucurbitaceae. The record is from RefSeq and is a predicted model, not a curated record. The transcript is spliced from 4 exons.
GAAAGAUUUGAUAAGAAUUAUGUCUGCAUAUUUACGUUAUAAAUGGAAUUGGAGGCCCUUUCCCUUCAUGGUGUCUGAAAGCACAUUAGCGAGUGCUAGUCCAUUGAGACAGGCCUAGGAAAUACAUGAGCCCUCAGGUAAAGGUUAGGCACAAAGGUACGGAUGGCGACGCCGUGACGAAAGCCAUGGAACUAGAGGUUAAUAUCGAAAUCGAGAAAAAUACAGACAAAUAAAGGUCAAACAAAUGGAAAAAGAAGUAUCACUCGUUGGUUAUGGACCAACAUAUGC